Molecule: ribosomal RNA, 466 nt
Filed under: uncultured bacterium
Lineage: Bacteria
Description: partial 16S ribosomal RNA
Rfam family: Bacterial small subunit ribosomal RNA
Source: RNAcentral
CGGGUGGCUGCAGCAGUGGGGAAUAUUGGACAAUGGGGGAAACCCUGAUCCAGCAAUGCCGCGUGUGUGAAGAAGGCCUGCGGGUUGUAAAGCACUUUCGGUUGGGAGGACUGCUUCUAGCACUAAUAUUGUUGGAAGUUGACGUUACCUUCAGAAGAAGCACCGGCUAACUCCGUGCCAGCAGCCGCGGGUAAUACGGAGGGUGCAAGAGUUAAUCGGAAUUACUGGGCGUAAAGCGCGCGUAGGCGGCUAGAUCAGUCGGGUGUGAAAGCCCCGGGCUUAACCUGGGAACUGCAUCCGAUACUGUCUAGCUUGAGUACAGGAGAGGAGAGUGGAAUUCCACAUGUAGCGGUGAAAUGCGUAGAUAUGUGGAGGAACACCAAUGGCGAAGGCAGCUCUCUGGCCUGAUACUGACGCUGAGGUGCGAAAGCGUGGGGAGCAAACAGGAUUAGAUACCCGGGUAGUC